RNAcentral lists this long non-coding RNA (697 nucleotides) under Anolis carolinensis (green anole). Its description in RNAcentral is "lncRNA (ENSACAG00000034167.2)". Lineage: Eukaryota; Metazoa; Chordata; Lepidosauria; Squamata; Anolidae. The record is from RNAcentral.
GGAGGAGUUAACUGUUCCUGCAUUUGUGGAGUUAAGGAAAGAAAGGGGUCAGCUGAGAAGAGGCCAGAAUCAGGGAACACCUGUGAAGUAGGGUUUAGGAGACGAGUUUAUUACCUGAUUGCUGGCUGCAACAUUGAUGGCUUGAGCCAAGAUCUUGGACCCUUGAACUCUUGUGCUCUGGAAUUUGGACUGGUCUUGGAUGCUGUGAAGAAAAACCAAGAUCAGGACCAUUUUUGGACUGGACAAUUAUAUUUCCUGGAAUUGUUUUCAAUAAAAGAGAAAAAAUAUGAUGGGUACCCAUCUCUGGUGCCAACCCUGCAAAUCAAGAUGUUAACCCCUGCAAGAAAAUUCAGCAUAGCUAAAGAAAGGAGAAAGCAUGAACGAAGAUCGAGCAAUUGCCAGGCAUUUGUAUGCAGUUCAUAAUUUGACUUUUGACUAUCCAAAAGUAGCACAUUACCUUUGCCAAUUUGCUAAUUAAGAUGAGCUUUGCUACUGUUCAGCAACCCAUUUUGGUGGUUAUUCUUUUCCUUUCUUUUCCAAUUUUCCCCUCCCCAAAGACUUGGUUAGCAUCUUGCUUGAUGCAAGACAAACAAAGAUGCUGUCAAUAUUCAUUUUAAUUAAGCCAAUGGCAUUAGCUGCUUAUGACUUCAUUCUCCUCAGUCCCAGUGGGCAAUCUGAAAGGCAAUUCUCACUGUUA